CCGAGCCUUCCUCCUCUCUUCCCCGAUCUCCCCUCUCUGCCUUCUCUCUCUCUCGCGGGCGAAUUGGAGGCGACGGGAGCAGAGCUUCUCCUUUGGCGAUCAUCCUUGUUCGCCGGAGCUUGCUGGAGCACGGCGGAGCCUAGAUCUUCUUCGGCCGAGGGGUUCUGUCCGGUGAGUUAUGCGGCCGAGUGUCGACAGCGAGGCGGCUAGGGCACGACAGGUGCUCGAUCCGUGUCAUCUCUAGCCUAUCGACCCUUCGUUCUUCCUCCACGAGUUGUUCACAGAGUGUUCCGCGUCUCCCUUCUCGUUGGAUUUGGAUCGAGCGACGCCACCGAGGAGUGAUCUUAGAGGUUUCAACCUUCGACUCCGAUCAAUUGGGGUUGCACGGAGCUGUGUCUGGUGUUGUGCUUUGGUCCAGCGACUCAUCUGGUUGCUAGUGGAAAUGAUCUUGGCAAAGGAUCAACAGAAGGGGGGCUGUGAGGAAGAGGAGGUUGGAUUGAAGGGGGCAGCAUGUUUACUAGGGUUUCGGUCAGGAGUUUCCAGCAGCCUACAAUUCCAGCUCUUCAACUGUGGGUCAACAAAAUUUCAUCCGGUUUUAGGAUUUUGAUUCGAGGCAAGCAUCUCGACGUGGGGGCUAUAUUUGGCACGAUCUAUAUCUAAGG
Long non-coding RNA from Zingiber officinale, 662 nucleotides. RefSeq lists it as uncharacterized. The transcript is spliced from 4 exons. NCBI's taxonomy places the organism in Eukaryota, Viridiplantae, Streptophyta, Magnoliopsida, Zingiberales, Zingiberaceae. The record is from RefSeq and is a predicted model, not a curated record.